This 1946-nucleotide ribosomal RNA is filed under the name human gut metagenome. Its description in RNAcentral is "bacterial LSU rRNA". It matches the Rfam family "Bacterial large subunit ribosomal RNA", at positions 3 to 1995 of the family's 2925-position model. The record is from RNAcentral.
UCAAGCGACUAAGUGCAUGUGGUGGAUGCCUUGGCGAUCACAGGCGAUGAAGGACGCGGCAGUCUGCGAAAAGCCCCGGGGAGCUGACAACGAGCUUUGAUCCGGGGAUCUCCGAAUGAGGGAACUCCAAGCUUUAGCUUGAUCCAUGCGUGAAUACAUAGCGCAUGGAGGCGAACGCGGCGAACUGAAACAUCUCAGUAGCUGCAGGAAAAGAAAUCAACCGAGAUUCCGGAAGUAGCGGCGAGCGAAACCGGAACAGCCUGAAUUCGAUAUUGAGAAGAACACUGGAAGAGUCUGGAAAGGCUCGCCAUAGUGGGUGAUAGCCCCGUACGGGACGUUCAUCUCAAGGUACUGAGGAUUCGAAAAGUAGGUCGGGGCACGUGAAACCCUGGCUGAACAUGGGGGGACCAUCCUCCAAGGCUAAAUACUCGUGAUCGACCGAUAGCGUACUAGUACUGUGAAGGAAAGGUUAAAAGAACCCCGGGAGGGGAGUGAAAUAGAUUCUGAAACCGCAUGCAUACAAACAGUAGGAGCCCUUCGGGGUGACUGCGUACCUUUUGCAUAAUGGGUCAGCGACUUAUGUUAUGUGGCAAGCCUAACCGACUAGGGGAGGCGCAGCGAAAGCGAGUCCGAACAGGGCGAUUCAGUCGCAUGGCAUAGACCCGAAACCAGAUGAGCUAACCAUGGCCAGGCUGAAGGUGUGGUAACACACACUGGAGGGCCGAACCUACUGGUGUUGCAAAACCAGAGGAUGAGCUGUGGUUAGGGGUGAAAGGCUUAACAAAUCUGGAGAUAGCUGGUUCUCCCCGAAAACUAUUGAGGUAGUGCCUUGCGCAUGAGCUUCUGGGGGUAGAGCACUGUUAUAGCUAGGGGGACAUGGCGUCUUACCAAACUAUGGCAAACUCCGAAUACCAGAAAGCUUCGCGCAGGAGACAGAGCACCGGGUGCUAACGUCCGGACUCAAAAGGGAAUCAACCCAGACCGCCAGCUAAGGUCCCUAAUAUCAGCUAAGUGGAAAACGAAGUGGAAAGGCUAAAACAGUCAGGAAGUUGGCUUAGAAGCAGCCAUCCUUCAAAGAAAGCGUAAUAGCUCACUGAUCGAGUCCUUCCGCGCGGAAGAUGUAACGGGGCUAAGUUGAUAACCGAAGCUGCGGAUUCACACUUUGAGUGUGAGUGGUAGGGGAGCGUUCUGUAAGCCUGUGAAGGUGGAUCGUAAGGUCUGCUGGAGGUAUCAGAAGUGCGAAUGCUGACAUGAGUAACGAUAAAGCGGGUGAAAAGCCCGCUCGCCGCAAACCCAAGGUUUCCUGCUCUACGUUAAUCGGAGCAGGGUGAGUCGGUUCCUAAGGCCAGGCUGAGAAGCGUAGCUGAUGGAAAUCAGGUUAAUAUUCCUGAACCGACGUUGAAUGCGAUGGGGUGACGGAGCAGCCAGAGUGGACCGGGUGUUGGAUGUCCCGGCUUCCGAGCGAUGGGUGCCUGCAGGCAAAUCCGCAGGCGUAUACCCAGGACGAAGGAUCGGGCCUUCUUUUGAAGGCGAAGCCACUGGAAGCGCUUCCAGGAAAAACCUCUAAGCUUCAGUUCAACGGCGACCGUACCGUAAACCGACACAGGUGGGUGAGCUGAAUAUGCUCAGGCGCUUGAGAGAACUCGGGAGAAGGAACUCGGCAAAUUGACACCGUAACUUCGGAAGAAGGUGUGCCUUUGUAGCUUGAUGGGAGAGAAACCCAAAGGGUGAAGAGGUCUCAGAGAAUCGGUGGCUGUAACUGUUUACUAAAAACACAGCGCUCUGCAAAGAUGAAAGUCGACGUAUAGGGCGUGAUGCCUGCCCGGUGCUGGAAGAUUAAUUGAUGGGGUGCAAGCUCCUGAUCGAAGUCCCAGUAAACGGCGGCCGUAACUAUAACGGUCCUAAGGUAGCGAAAUUCCUUGUCGGGCAAGUUCCGACCUGCACGA